Long non-coding RNA from Anguilla anguilla (European eel), 1179 nucleotides. RefSeq lists it as uncharacterized. The transcript is spliced from 2 exons. The record is from RefSeq and is a predicted model, not a curated record. NCBI's taxonomy places the organism in Eukaryota, Metazoa, Chordata, Actinopteri, Anguilliformes, Anguillidae.
UGUGGCGAUCUUGCCUGUGUGUAACUAAAUAAUUGUUAGCUUGUUAGCGGUUAACUUGUCCCGCUCCGCGAUCGUGUAAAUACUCGUUAUUUUGAAUGUGUGUAGCCUGCUAGGAAUCGCUUACGUAGCGCUAGCAGCCCUCGGGUUUAUGAUUUGCACCGUCAUGAAUCUGUCAUUAGUCAAUUAGCCAAUACUGUCGUUGUAUUCCCUGCCUGUCUCUGUUUUGCGUGUCUCGUGCUGCUGUUUCCCGCUGUAUGUAAAUUAUCCGACCUUUGUGUGAUGUGACGUUAAGGCUGUGUGAUUGGCUGCCCCGGCGCAACGGGACUAACCAAUCACGGCGAACGGGGUUUGACAAAAUCAGGCUUCUCCCAGCUAUGAUGGUCAGUCUACGAAUUACCGUUUUGAAGAGGUGUCACAAAUAAAGCGAAGCUCCCCGGGAGCGAUUCGAAAACAGCCAAGCCAGUCUCCGUCUCUGCUUCUUCGCGAAAUCGCCACAAUACUUAAGAUUAUUCUGGAAAUUAGUUAGCCCCGCCCACUCCCAAGGACUUGGUUGAGACUGUCUGUCGCACAGGAGAGAGUGCACAGCAAGAGGGGAGAACGGGAGAGAGAAAAAGACGAUCAGAAGUAGAAAAUCAUAAUUAUUAAUUUAAGCAGUUAACUUAAAGAGCAGCUCCUUAAAUGACCCAGGGACCAAAUAUUUUCCAGAUCGCACACUUCAAUUUCUUUCCUUGCGAUCUUGGCUGGGUUUUUUGGAUACCUGAGAAGAAACCUGUGAACCUAGGAUUCUCUCCCUAACGAGGGAGAUGGCGAGCUGACCAGCUUGAUCAACUUGAUUCAUCUUCAUCCAUUGAGGAAGAACCCCCUGAUACCCCUUGUUUCUCCCAACCCCACUCUGGUGUGGUAGGAUUGUGAUUGAGAAAUUACAUAAUUUUAUUUGAUACUUUAUUUUUUUUUAAAUAGGGUGCACUCAACCAACAAAACUGACUUGAAACUAACUAAAUUGAACUAAACCAGACUGAACAGAAGACAUUCAGAACUUAAUGGACAGUGAAUACAGUUACAACACUCAGGACAUUGAUAUGAAGACAAAUGAAUGUGGUUGAAUGUGAUAAGUAAAUGCUGGCUUUACAUGUUGUCAUUACACUUUCUUUAAUACAGUUCUAACCAUUUUGCACUUAC